GAUGAACGCUAGCGGCAGGCCUAAUACAUGCAAGUCGAGGGGUAUCCCGCUUUCGGGCGGGAGAGACCGGCGCACGGGUGCGUAACGCGUAUGCAACCCACCCAUAUCUGGGGGAUAGCCCGGAGAAAUCCGGAUUAACACCGCAUAAAAUCACAGUACGGCAUCGUACAAUGAUCAAAUAUUGAUAGGAUAUGGAUGGGCAUGCGUGUCAUUAGCUGGUUGGCGGGGUAACGGCCCACCAAGGCGACGAUGACUAGGGGAUCUGAGAGGAUGGCCCCCCACACCGGUACUGUGACACGGUACAGACUCCUGCGGGCGGAAGCAGUAGGGAAGAUUGGUCAAUGGGCGGAAGCCUGAACCAGGCAUGCCGCGUGCAGGAAGACGUCCCUCUGGGUUGUAAACUGCUUUUAUUCGGGAAUAAACCUGCAUACGUGUAUGCAGCUGAACGUACCGAAGGAAUAGGGUUCGGCUAACUCCGUGCCAGCAGCCGCCGUAA
This 496-nucleotide ribosomal RNA is filed under the name uncultured bacterium. Its description in RNAcentral is "partial 16S ribosomal RNA". It matches the Rfam family "Bacterial small subunit ribosomal RNA", at positions 28 to 523 of the family's 1533-position model. The record is from RNAcentral.